ACGGAAGUGAGGAUCCUUUCCCCAGCUGAUCCACUGUAAUUAUACUGUGCUCAAAUGAUUCCAAGCCAAAAAAAUUGAUCCAU
RNAcentral lists this small nucleolar RNA (83 nucleotides) under Triticum aestivum (bread wheat). RNAcentral's name for it is "Small nucleolar RNA Z103". It matches the Rfam family "Small nucleolar RNA Z103". Rfam says of the family: This family consists of several snoRNA Z103 sequences which are members of the C/D class of snoRNA which contain the C (UGAUGA) and D (CUGA) box motifs. Lineage: Eukaryota; Viridiplantae; Streptophyta; Magnoliopsida; Poales; Poaceae. RNAcentral also lists the same sequence under 2 other names. The record is from Rfam by way of RNAcentral.